CAAAUGCACUAGAAAUAAGUGUCCGGACAGUUAUCAUAUGGGCUAGAAGCACCAGAGUCUAUUAACCAUGAAGUUGAAACAGUAUUACCUAAAAAGGCAGAUGCGGAUUCUUUGUGCAAUUGGGAUUGUGAGAGCAAACAUUGAAGUUGUUUCAUUGUAAGAGUGAUCAAUGAAGAAGUAGUACCAAUAGCCGAUGGUGUUACGCUAAUUGCUUGAGUUUUAAUAUUCAUGGAAGAUAGAUCGAGACUGAUUUGACUCUGCAGUUUAUGUCUCCUUUUUUCUUUUAUUUUUUUAACAAAAAAAAAAUAUGUUACUAACAACAAGAUAAGCUGUCAGAACACCAAGGGUGGUCCGUCACUCUAUAAAGUUCCUUCGCUUAUAAAAGAUUACUACCACUCCACCUUUCUCGGAAAAAAAAGGGGUACAUGUAGCAACUAAAAGAGGAUGAGACAAAUAAAAGAAGGAAAAAGUUUAUAUAAGGAUGUUACCUUAUAAUGUAGAAUUAUAGAUGCCUCUCAAAAAUCCAUCGGAAAAGGUAGUUUUAAUGUUGAAAAGCCCUUUGAUUGAUCAUCUCGACAUCGAGAUGUAUGACUAAGAAAGAUAAAAAGAUUUUAAGUCUAAAAAAUAGUGCAUCUUACAAUAUAUUAUCUACGCCGAUCAUUUUCAAGAUUUUCAUAUGUUUAUAGAUCUACUUGAUUUUAACUAUUUUUAAAAUUUAAAAUUUUAUAAUUAGAUAUAAAAAUAGAUUUUGAGAUAAUCCUAAAAAUAUUUAAGAUCAAAAUUAUAUACCAUGAUAAAAUAGAAACAACGAGUUUAGAGUGGGUUUCCCUUUAAGAAGAACAGAGCCGAGGAAGAAGAUAUACAUACCAAGAAGCUUCAAAUUCGGACGAGGAUCUUCCGAUCUAGAGGUUGGCAAAGAAAA
This 922-nucleotide long non-coding RNA is filed under the name Amborella trichopoda. Its description in RNAcentral is "long non-coding RNA (ATRI_LNC004260)". The record is from RNAcentral. Lineage: Eukaryota; Viridiplantae; Streptophyta; Magnoliopsida; Amborellales; Amborellaceae.